GGAAAACAUUAAAAACAAAAUUGGCCAAAUAAUUAGAAGAAUCAACCUUUUCAUAUUUUUCAAUUACAUUUGAACAUUUUAAGUUUGACAAUUUUGGUUCAAUCUAAAAUUUUACUUUUAGGAUGAAACAAUAACUAUCUAUUUAUUAGAAACCCAAAUCCAAUCUCAGAACCCAAGUGUUGUGGGUAGAAGGUCUAAGAGGUUAUAAGGAGACCCCAAUGUUUAAAAGCAGG
Molecule: unclassified non-coding RNA, 233 nt
Filed under: Hevea brasiliensis (rubber tree)
Lineage: Eukaryota; Viridiplantae; Streptophyta; Magnoliopsida; Malpighiales; Euphorbiaceae
Source: RNAcentral